This 711-nucleotide long non-coding RNA is filed under the name Sus scrofa (pig). RNAcentral describes it as "lncRNA (ENSSSCG00055005070.1, ENSSSCG00070005780.1)". Lineage: Eukaryota; Metazoa; Chordata; Mammalia; Artiodactyla; Suidae. The record is from RNAcentral.
CUGUCAUCAGGAAUUUGGUCCGACUCCCACGCACUCCUAGAGGCAGCGAGGGGGAGGGGAAGGAUGCGGGAGGCAGAACUCCUGAGGGAGAGGAUGUGGCUGUCGGGCGGCUCUCCCAGGCUCCCUGCCUUGCACAGGCUGUGGGAGGGGACCACGGAGGCGAGGCGGCUACUCUGGUCUCCAGAGAUUGACUCCCGCUGACUGCCCCCCCCACCCCGGCCCCAGGUCGCUGGGGAGGGACCCUUGGGAGAGACAGCAGAGGCUGGGAGGAUGCAGCCCGCCUUAUGCUGGCUGGAGGAAGGCCUCCCCGUUUCACACUCAUCCCGCCUGGGGGCAGGGCCCGGCGCUCCAGGGUCCAGCCGGCCCAGGACUGGGCUCCGCACCACACUCGCCCCCCAACUUAUCCCCCACCCUGCCACUGGGGCUGUGGCACAGAGAUGGCAAACACCCCCCAAGGCCUUGUGCCAGGUAAUUACCAAGCAAAUUCCCGGCGAUUUCCUCUCCCCACCCUGGGCAGCGCCUGCUGCGCGUUCCCUGAUUCGGGCCCCGGCUGUGCAAUCAGCGCCCGGGAACCUGCGGGGACCCGUAAUUGCUCUGGAGUUGCCCAGGACUUUGCAAGUUAACAGGUCUCUGACAGGCAGGGUCCUUCCUUUCCAGGAAGACCGUCUUGUCCACAGCCCGGCUGCUUCUGCCCUACGCGGAAGGUCGUGA